RNAcentral lists this ribosomal RNA (216 nucleotides) under Glomeromycotina sp. RNAcentral's name for it is "partial small subunit ribosomal RNA". The stretch from base 44 to 216 matches the Rfam family "Eukaryotic small subunit ribosomal RNA", at positions 690 to 864 of the family's 1831-position model. Lineage: Eukaryota; Fungi; Glomeromycota. The record is from RNAcentral.
GGGUCAGUAGGUUGGUCGUGCCACCGGUACGUACUGGUCUCACUGAUUCCUCCUUCCUGAAGGACCGUAAUGCCAUUAAUUUGGUGUUGCGGGGAAACAGGACUGUUACUUUGAAAAAAUUAGAGUGUCUAAAGCAAGCUAACGCUUGAAUACAUUAGCAUGGACUAAUGAAAUAGGACGAUCGAUCCUAUUUUGUUGGUUUCUAGGAUUGACGUA